CGGCGGUGAGGACAGACCUACUGUGCUGAGUUACCGUGAUGCUUCUAUACGCUAUUCUGAGCCGGCC
Molecule: small nucleolar RNA, 67 nt
Organism: Saimiri boliviensis boliviensis (Bolivian squirrel monkey)
Lineage: Eukaryota; Metazoa; Chordata; Mammalia; Primates; Cebidae
Product: small nucleolar RNA U54
Source: RefSeq, a predicted model, not a curated record